UAUGCCCCGACCGACGUCAAUGUCACGAACUCCGCCAGGACCGGAAGGUAGCAACGGUAGUGAAAUACGGGUGGUCGGGGCACUUUU
RNAcentral lists this signal recognition particle RNA (87 nucleotides) under Nannocystis exedens. RNAcentral's name for it is "signal recognition particle sRNA small type". It matches the Rfam family "Bacterial small signal recognition particle RNA". Rfam says of the family: The signal recognition particle (SRP) is a universally conserved ribonucleoprotein involved in the co-translational targeting of proteins to membranes. Archaeal SRP consists of a 7S RNA and homologues of the eukaryotic SRP19 and SRP54 proteins. The record is from RNAcentral. Lineage: Bacteria; Pseudomonadati; Myxococcota; Nannocystales; Nannocystaceae.